UACGAGUGCCCCAAGCGUUAUCCGGAAUCAUUGGGCGUAAAGGGUGUGUAGGCGGUCUCUUUAGUCUCCUGUUAAAACCUCGGGCUCAACCCGAGAUCUGCAGGGGAAACGGAGAGACUCGAGGGUGCGAGAGGUGAAUGGAACUCAUGGAGUAGGGGUGAAAUCCGUUGAUAUCAUGGGGAACACCAAAAGCGAAGGCAAUUCACUGGCGCACUUCUGACGCUGAAACACGAAAGCGUGGGUAGCGAACGGG
Molecule: ribosomal RNA, 253 nt
Filed under: uncultured bacterium
Lineage: Bacteria
Description: partial 16S ribosomal RNA
Rfam family: Bacterial small subunit ribosomal RNA
Source: RNAcentral